This 410-nucleotide transfer-messenger RNA is filed under the name Holosporales bacterium. It matches the Rfam family "Alphaproteobacteria transfer-messenger RNA". From Rfam's summary of the family: Bacterial tmRNA, also known as 10Sa RNA or SsrA, is named for its dual tRNA and mRNA-like properties. Its role is to liberate the mRNA from a stalled ribosome. Lineage: Bacteria; Pseudomonadati; Pseudomonadota; Alphaproteobacteria; Holosporales. The record is from RNAcentral.
AAACUUGCCACCUACUUCACAAUGUGUUAGCAUCGCAGAUGCUGGUUUUUCUGGCUAUGGCAAUAAACGAUUCACGUAAUAGGUAUUGUGGACCCGGGGGCGGUACCCGGCGCCUUCACCAUAAAGUUGUAUGGGGGCGAAAAAGGUUCGACAUGAUACGGCAAAGGUGUAUUUUUUGCCCGGCAUUGUACCACCGUUAUCGGGCUAUAUUAGUAAAUGCCAACUCUAAAAGAAGGCAGGGAAGAACGCGUCAGCUGAAUAGGCAAAUACGCGUUGCAAGAAGAAGGAGAAGGUUACCGUUGGCUGCCUGAUUAGGGGUCAGCGGUUCUAAUUCUUGCUUAUUACACAGUUAUGUGUAAUAUCUUCGAAUAACGCGGUUUGGGGCGACCGAGCAACAGAACGCCCCGUGU